AUACUCUGGUUUCUCUUCAGAUCGUAUAAAUCCAUUGCCCAUUACUAAAAAUUUUCAUGGAGAGGAACAGGCAUGAGUGUUGAGGAAUAUAUAUUAUAAAGUUGCUGUUACUCUGU
Lepidothrix coronata (blue-crowned manakin) is the source of this 116-nucleotide small nuclear RNA. Its record names the gene U5. It matches the Rfam family "U5 spliceosomal RNA". From Rfam's summary of the family: U5 RNA is a component of both types of known spliceosome. The precise function of this molecule is unknown, though it is known that the 5' loop is required for splice site selection and p220 binding, and that both the 3' stem-loop and the Sm site are important for Sm protein binding and cap methylation. Lineage: Eukaryota; Metazoa; Chordata; Aves; Passeriformes; Pipridae. The record is from Ensembl.